Molecule: ribosomal RNA, 601 nt
Filed under: Actinomycetales bacterium A237
Lineage: Bacteria; Bacillati; Actinomycetota; Actinomycetes; Actinomycetales
Also listed under: 1 other name
Description: bacterial SSU rRNA
Rfam family: Bacterial small subunit ribosomal RNA
Source: RNAcentral
AGUCGAACGAUGAACCACUUCGGUGGGGAUUAGUGGCGAACGGGUGAGUAACACGUGGGCAAUCUGCCCUUCACUCUGGGACAAGCCCUGGAAACGGGGUCUAAUACCGGAUACUGACCCUCGCAGGCAUCUGCGAGGUUCGAAAGCUCCGGCGGUGAAGGAUGAGCCCGCGGCCUAUCAGCUUGUUGGUGAGGUAAUGGCUCACCAAGGCGACGACGGGUAGCCGGCCUGAGAGGGCGACCGGCCACACUGGGACUGAGACACGGCCCAGACUCCUACGGGAGGCAGCAGUGGGGAAUAUUGCACAAUGGGCGAAAGCCUGAUGCAGCGACGCCGCGUGAGGGAUGACGGCCUUCGGGUUGUAAACCUCUUUCAGCAGGGAAGAAGCGAAAGUGACGGUACCUGCAGAAGAAGCGCCGGCUAACUACGUGCCAGCAGCCGCGGUAAUACGUAGGGCGCAAGCGUUGUCCGGAAUUAUUGGGCGUAAAGAGCUCGUAGGCGGCUUGUCACGUCGGUUGUGAAAGCCCGGGGCUUAACCCCGGGUCUGCAGUCGAUACGGGCAGGCUAGAGUUCGGUAGGGGAGAUCGGAAUUCCUGGUGUA